This is a long non-coding RNA of Notolabrus celidotus (New Zealand spotty), 1991 nucleotides long. RefSeq lists it as uncharacterized. The record is from RefSeq and is a predicted model, not a curated record. Lineage: Eukaryota; Metazoa; Chordata; Actinopteri; Labriformes; Labridae. The transcript has 2 exons.
GCGGGGAAAACCUCGGUCACAUGACUCCAGCUGUCUGGCGGUCCAGCUGAUGGAUGAGAGAGCACGGAGACAGACCGGACACAGAUCUGGUGGAAGUCCCUUGUAAUAGCGAUACAGCAGCAGCCUUUAAAAGGAGCUGCAGUGCCACCUAGAGGCCGAUGGCUGCAUUACAGCUCAGACACGACACAUGACCGACAUCUCGUUGAACUGAUUAAUAAUUAUGGAGUCAUGGUGACAACAUCUUAUUGUUACGCCCACAUCGCUGUAGCUUAUGCGAAGGUUUUAAGGAGAAAUAGACAGAUUUAGAUUCUCUUGUCCUCCAAAAAUAUCUUCUAACACAAAGAAAUGAACAUGAACAUUCUCUGAUUUGUCAGAUACUAAAAUAUAUUUCUCUUGCAACCUAAUUCAAGUUUCAGCAUUGCAACAACUUCCAAAGAAGUUAAAGUGUCCUGAAAGAUGCGAGCUAACUUAUCCAAGCACUAGUUUAUAUGUCUGCAUCAAAUUGACAACAUAGCCUGACAUGCACCUCCUCCAAAAUGCAACUACAUGUCGAUACAGCGUGGACUGCAAGCCCUGUGAUUGGUCGACUGCACUUCCUGAAUCACAUACAUUAAAUCCCCUCCAACAUCUCGUCUCUAUCCUUCCCUGUAAUCAUUCCUGUACGAUAAACAACAACCUUUAUCUGCUCUAAAUUAACUUAGCAAGAGAACACACUGCCCUCUAGUGUUUCGGCAUGGUACUGCAGAGCGACACGACACAUAUAAACCAUGCUUUAGCUGGAUGUGGUGCCCUGAAACACAACAAAUGAUUGCUCUUAUGUGAGGAUUAACACUCUCCAGCUGUUUAAAGUGAUAUUAAUUCAUUGGUUUGUGCACUUAAUGUUUUUUGAGAAGUUGUUGUCUGACGUCUGAUCCUCAUAACUCCUCAAACAGCUCUGACUCUCCUGGUCUCAGUUUCCUGCCCGUCUCAUGGCGUUAUCCUGCAUGUGUGUGUGCGUGAGCCUGUCCUCGUGCUGCAGCAUUAUCUCCUCUCUGCUGUUCUUUUCCGUCUCAGUCUGUGUUUUCUUUGUGAGCCUUCAUACAUGUCUGCCUGCAUGUGGGAACUCCCGCCUGUUGUCUAUUUGCGUGUCGUGGUCACCUGCUGAGUAAACCUCUGCGGCUCGGGGGUCAUCGGGGGCAGGACGUCCGAGUGGAAACUGUCGUUAACGCGGGGAUUAUUGUCACAUCCCAUCACGACUCCCCUCUUAACCUCGGGGUCUAAAUGAGCGCCCAACAACAGGCACGUAUUCCUGGAUGAAGAGUCAGAAACAUCCAGAAGUGGAGCGGGUUUUACUGGAACCAGACGACAUGCUUUAAUUGUGUCUGACAGGGAAAGAGGAAAUUAACUUCCUCAUCCUCAAAGUGUGUCAGGAGAUGAAUCAAAAAUAUCAAAACGUGUAUUUCACUUCCCUUUACAGACUGCUUCUGCCAGAUUUCUGCAGCAUUAUAUGAAGUGUAAAUCUGUCGUGUGUGUGUGUGUGUGUGUGUGUGUGAGCCGCGCUGAGGUUUCUUGAUUUUCUGCACAGGCCUCUCCUGGAGCUGCGUGUGCGUGGACGUGGACGUGGAGCUUUCUGUGUCUCUGGUAAACUGCUGGUCCACACAGCCGUGCAUCCGUACGUACGUGACUCUGAUGUUGCCGUGUCGUGUUCUUUUACUCCGGGUCGGGGAUCUGCGUGUUUUUUUCAGAUUAACAUGAAUCCAGAGAUGCUACUGUACGUGGACGAGGGUCUUUCGUUGCUGUCGGGGUGGGUUACGGGAAAGGGUCGCCAUGGCUCGUUGCCCCAUGGGAAGUGAAGUUCUCACCAUAUUUACACAUCUCUAAAGCCUCUGCUAAAGACUGAUGACUGUUCAUUUAGAGCUCAAUGAAUUUCUAUGAAUAUUUUAGAUUGCUCAAACUGAUUAUGUGCAAUUGUAAUGAUGGAAAUUCAAUAAAAAAGAGGUAUUUUUACACAA